RNAcentral lists this long non-coding RNA (239 nucleotides) under Elaeis guineensis (African oil palm). Its description in RNAcentral is "long non-coding RNA (EGUI_LNC015413)". The record is from RNAcentral. Lineage: Eukaryota; Viridiplantae; Streptophyta; Magnoliopsida; Arecales; Arecaceae.
GAUGUCAGAAACCAUUACUAGAUGGUAUCUCAAUUAGUGCAGAAAUUAGUUUCUAUGCUACCGGCUUAGUAUUUGAACCUAUGGAGUCAUGCACACAAGUCAGACAAAGUAGGAAGGAAUUGACCUAUGUUUAUAUAUUCAAUUUGAAAGUAUUUGACUUGAUUGAACAUAUAAGCUAACUUGAUUGAGAAUUAAGUUAUGGGUCAAACGAGAUUGAAGAGUUGACUAUAUCUAGCUAG